GAUACCCUGUGGGAGAUAAAGUGCUUGUAUUAUUACCCACUUCAAGCUCAAAAUUACUCGCCUAAGCGGCAAGGAUCAUUUGGGUCAUGGGCAGGUGUGUCCCCAAAUUGAGAAGACUACAGCGAUUGGGGACUGCCCGAGGCCCAAGACCAAAAAGGGGGUGAGACAGAUCCUGGGGCUGGCUGGCUACUAUUGCAGGUUCAUAACUAGCUAUUUGGACGUCACCAGCCUGCUGACUGAUCUCACUAAAAAGGGAGCGCCAGAUCCGGUCCAGUGGACAGAGCAGUGCCAACAGGCGUUCACUAAGAUAAAAGCUACUCUGUGUGGGGGCCACUUUUACGCUCCCCUGACUUCUCUCUCUCCCUUUUAUUUUGCAGACAGAGGGCUGGGGGCCAUUCUGUCCCAGGAGGUGGAGGGGGAGGACUGACCAGUGCUGUACAUCAGCCACAAGCUCUCGAUGUGAGAAAAUCUUGACCCACUCCAGUGGCUCCACUGCAUGAAAGAUGCCAAUGCAUGAAUCACCCGUUGGUAUCAAGCCCUCCAGCCUUUUAAAUUCAAGGUGGUCCACAGGCCGGGGGUGCAGAUGGUGGUGGCAGGCGGACUUUCUUUCCAAUCGGGAGAGGGGGUCUGCUGCAAGCCAGAUGGCUCCCUGGCCUAAGUCGGGCGGUGGAGGUAUGUAGCAGCAGGAGUGUGGUCAAGCGUUGGUUUGUGAAUGGAGGGCAGAGCCAGGGAAGGUGAGUGGCAAAGUGAUCAUACCUGUUGUCAAUUGAUGAUGUGUGUGUGUCUGUUGUAGUGAUGACGGAGCAGAGAAAAGGAGGGAGAGAGCAAAGAGGUGGCUGUCUCCCAAUCCGAUCAUGUGUGUAUGUGAUAAACCAAAAGUUACAUUGAAAAGCAAAAAUCUUAAUAAAAAGGACCUGUUAUAUA
Molecule: long non-coding RNA, 924 nt
Organism: Neoarius graeffei (lesser salmon catfish)
Lineage: Eukaryota; Metazoa; Chordata; Actinopteri; Siluriformes; Ariidae
Exons: 2
Source: RefSeq, a predicted model, not a curated record